UAGGGAAUCUUCGGCAAUGGACGAAAGUCUGACCGAGCAACGCCGCGUGAGUGAAGAAGGUUUUCGGAUCGUAAAACUCUGUUGUUAGAGAAGAACAAGGACGUUAGUAACUGAACGUCCCCUGACGGUAUCUAACCAGAAAGCCACGGCUAACUACGUGCCAGCAGCCGCGGUAAUACGUAGGUGGCAAGCGUUGUCCGGAUGUAUUGGGCGUAAAGCGAGCGCAGGCGGUUUCUUAAGUCUGAUGUGAAAGCCCCCGGCUCAACCGGGGAGGGUCAUUGGAAUCUGGGAGACUUGAGUGCAGAAGAGGAGAGUGGAAUUCCAUGUGUAGCGGUGAAAUGCGUAGAUAUAUGGAGGAACACCAGUGGCGAAGGCGGAUCUCUGGUCUGUAACUGACGCUGAGGCUCGAAAGCGUGGGGAGCAAACAGG
Molecule: ribosomal RNA, 429 nt
Filed under: Gemmatimonadota bacterium
Lineage: Bacteria; Pseudomonadati; Gemmatimonadota
Description: Gemmatimonadetes bacterium partial 16S ribosomal RNA
Rfam family: Bacterial small subunit ribosomal RNA
Source: RNAcentral